GUCAAAAUAAGCAUCUCCAAUUCAUUCAGAAUUUGCAGAUACAGAACUUUCAAGCAUUGAAUUCUGCCAAAUAGCUUUUACGUUUGGAAAACCCAAAUUAAGUUUCUAACUAAAAACAAAUUUUUACAAUUACCAGCUAGCUAGACAUGAAUCUUGCACCAAAUAUAAUUAAAUGCGGAUUCUUUAUCAGGAUCACCUAAUUAUCAAAAUUCUUGAUAAAGAAUUUCCAAGCACGAAGACCCUUAGUUUUCAUGUCGCCUGUAAACAAGACUAUAAUUUGAAGAAACAAUCUUGUAAAGGCUUAUAAAUUACCCAGACCUCAUCAAGAAAACACUCAGUUCUUGACCAGGGCACUCGUCUGGGUUAAUCAAAUGAAACGACUCCGAAUCAGCAUUACCCACUACGUGCUCAUAAUUAGCCCGCAUAUACAUGAUCUCCUCUGAACCCAUUGAUCCGAAUCCGGAUGGAAUAACACCAGCCCCGACCGUCAUUGAUUGCAUGGUCUUCAACAUCAAACGGUUCUGAUCGCUCGCCUUCCUCCUUAGAGCAAACCCAACUCUCUUCCCGUUGCAGUACAUGGUCCAAACCGGAACCGAACGAAGAGGGCACGAACUGAAGUCGGAUCGGUCGCACUCUAGCGCUAUCCGGACGAGUCCGCAUUGCAUUUCUUUGACGAGUUGAUUGGUGGGCAUGGAGAGUUCAAGGAGGAGGAGAGGUUUAAUGGAGAGGCGGUCGUGUUGAAUGCAGAGCCACACAUGGCCGCGACGGUUCCCAAAAAUGGUGCCGACUACCAUGGUUUUCGAGGGACGUGAAGGGGCCAAAGUAUUGUUGGCGUUGAUGGUUGAUUCAGAGGAUGCUGAGUCGUGGUCUUGAUCUUGAUUGUGGGAUUCUUGGGUGGUUUUGGGGUUAGGAAGAUCAUCGCGAAGGGAGGUGCUGAGACGUUUCUUGGUGGUUAGCUUGUUGGCGGUGGUGUUAGUGGAAGGAGAGAAGCAGGGGAGGAGGAAUCGACGGAGGACGUCGAUCUUGGUCAUGGGUUUUGAGUUUCUUGGGAGGGCUUUGAGGGAUAAGGGAAUGGACGAUUGAGAGGAUAAGUAAUGGAGGAUGAUUGGG
This 1110-nucleotide unclassified non-coding RNA is filed under the name Hevea brasiliensis (rubber tree). The record is from RNAcentral. Lineage: Eukaryota; Viridiplantae; Streptophyta; Magnoliopsida; Malpighiales; Euphorbiaceae.